GGGUUGUGAGGUUAAGCGACUAAGCGUACACGGUGGAUGCCCUGGCAGUCAGAGGCGAUGAAGGGCGUGCUAAUCUGCGAUAAGCGCCGGUAAGGUGAUAUGAACCGUUAUAACCGGCGAUACCCGAAUGGGGAAACCCAGUGUGAUUCGUCACACUAUCAUUAACUGAAUCCAUAGGUUAAUGAGGCGAACCGGGGGAACUGAAACAUCUAAGUACCCCGAGGAAAAGAAAUCAACCGAGAUUCCCCCAGUAGCGGCGAGCGAACGGGGAGGAGCCCAGAGCCUGAAUCAGCAUGUGUGUUAGUGGAAGCGUCUGGAAAGGCGCGCGAUACAGGGUGACAGCCCCGUACACAAAAGCGCAUGUGCUGUGAGCUCGAUGAGUAGGGCGGGACACGUGGUAUCCUGUCUGAAUAUGGGGGGACCAUCCUCCAAGGCUAAAUACUCCUGACUGACCGAUAGUGAACCAGUACCGUGAGGGAA
RNAcentral lists this ribosomal RNA (480 nucleotides) under Salmonella enterica. RNAcentral's name for it is "partial 23S ribosomal RNA". It matches the Rfam family "Bacterial large subunit ribosomal RNA", at positions 1 to 511 of the family's 2925-position model. The record is from RNAcentral. Lineage: Bacteria; Pseudomonadati; Pseudomonadota; Gammaproteobacteria; Enterobacterales; Enterobacteriaceae.